This 253-nucleotide ribosomal RNA is filed under the name uncultured bacterium. RNAcentral describes it as "partial 16S ribosomal RNA". It matches the Rfam family "Bacterial small subunit ribosomal RNA", at positions 524 to 776 of the family's 1533-position model. The record is from RNAcentral.
UACGAAGGGGGCUAGCGUUGCUCGGAAUCACUGGGCGUAAAGCGCACGUAGGCGGAUUGCUAAGUCAGGGGUGAAAUCCUGGAGCUCAACUCCAGAACUGCCUUUGAUACUGAAGAUCUCGAGUCCGGGAGAGGUGAGUGGAACUGCGAGUGUAGAGGUGAAAUUCGUAGAUAUUCGCAAGAACACCAGUGGCGAAGGCGGCUCACUGGCCCGGUACUGACGCUGAGGCACGAAAGCGUGGGGAGCAAACAGG